AUACUUACUUGGCAGGGGAGACACCUUGAUCAUGAAGGAGGUUUUCCCAGAGUGAGGCUCAUCCACUGCACUGCUCAGUGUGCUGACCCCUGUGAUUUCCCCAAAUGUGGGGGGGGGGGGACUGCUAUGUUCUGC
Molecule: non-coding RNA, 135 nt
Organism: Podarcis lilfordi (Lilford's wall lizard)
Lineage: Eukaryota; Metazoa; Chordata; Lepidosauria; Squamata; Lacertidae
Source: the annotation of a GenBank genome assembly